UAGGGAAUCUUCGGCAAUGGACGGAAAGUCUGACCGAGCAACGCCGCGUGAGUGAAGAAGGUUUUCGGAUCGUAAAACUCUGUUGGUAGAGAAGAACGUUGGUGAGAGUGGAAAGCUCAUCAAGUGACGGUAACUACCCAGAAAGGGACGGCUAACUACGUGCCAC
This 166-nucleotide ribosomal RNA is filed under the name uncultured bacterium. Its description in RNAcentral is "partial 16S rRNA". It matches the Rfam family "Bacterial small subunit ribosomal RNA", at positions 355 to 511 of the family's 1533-position model. The record is from RNAcentral.